This 437-nucleotide ribosomal RNA is filed under the name uncultured bacterium. Its description in RNAcentral is "bacterial SSU rRNA". It matches the Rfam family "Bacterial small subunit ribosomal RNA", at positions 954 to 1392 of the family's 1533-position model. The record is from RNAcentral.
GCUAAACGCGAAGAACCUUACCUACCCUUGACAUGUCUGGAAGAUCUAAGAGAUUAGAUUGUGCUCGCAAGAGAACCGGAACACAGGUGCUGCAUGGCUGUCGUCAGCUCGUGUCGUGAGAUGUUGGGUUAAGUCCCGCAACGAGCGCAACCCUUGCCAUUAGUUGCUACAUUCAGUUGGGCACUCUAAUGGGACUGCCGGUGACAAACCGGAGGAAGGUGGGGAUGACGUCAAGUCCUCAUGGCCCUUAUGGGUAGGGCUUCACACGUCAUACAAUGGUCGGGACAGAGGGUUGCCAAGCCGCGAGGUGGAGCCAAUCUCUAAAAUCGCCCUCAGUUCAGAUUGCAGUCUGCAACCCGACUGCAUGAAGGUGGAAUCGCUAGUAAUCGCGGAUCAGAACGCCGCGGUGAAUACGUUCCCGGGUCUUGUACACACCG